UUCACUGUGCUUAAACGGCUGUGGGUAACUUAAGUUACCCACAGCCCAAGAUGGAGCCGCCUUGCGUCGGUUAGAUACUUUUCUUCUAUAGAAUAACAAUACCACGAAUGCAUCAUUAAACAACUGAAUUUAAAAGUUGUAUUAAUCGUUUAGGGAAACCCCUAAACUGGAAAGGUGAUUAAAUUCUACAAAAUAAACGAUCACAGCACGAUUUUAAAAAACACUUAGGCUGUCCGUAACUUCAAAACAACUUGUCCGUAACUUUUUUCAUCAUACCAAUAGAGAUGUCCGUAACUUUCAAAGAAUCGACAUACGCGGAUGUAAUGUUUAAACUGAUGAUAGAGAUUGCAUCGAAUACAUAUUCACAAAACGAAGUAGAUGUCUAGUAUGAUAUAAUUCAUUGUAUCGAUGGAAGACAAAAUUGGGAAAAAUAUGAAAAAAAUCACGAUAAAUCCGCAAAACUCGGGUCUCAUUUUGUAUAACGUCGGGGUAUCCGAAUCGCCAAGUUCGGAGGGUUGUUUCCGAUCAUAGCAGUAUGAUAAACUGUUGAAACAUAUCAUUGUUCGUUUUUAUUUUUGAACAAGUAGACUACACAAGUAUUUUUUACACAUACAUGUAGCAUGUAUACACUUACUGAUUUUCUGCCAGCAACGACAAGGGUAGCGUGAAUCCGGGAUUUUGGAUUUUGGAGGGGAACCCAAAUUGCCCAGGCAUGCAGUGGAUAGACUAUACGAGACUUAAGUGCACAAACUUUUUCCGUCUUUUUGAAAAAGCCAAAAACACUUUUCUCUCAUCCCCACAAAAACCAAGAUUUACAGUAAAUGGGAAAACUUUAAAAAAGGACAUUUUGUAUAAAUGAAUAAACCUAGUUUUACAGCAGCUGCAUAUUUCAUUUGUAUGCAAGUUGCAUUAAAUCUCAUUAAACUGAAUAAAACUAAAAGACACAAUAGGUAAAAGUCAGUGACAAUAAAAGGAAAAAGAGCAGUCAACAUAGUGUAACAAUUCGACAUAGUAUAUAAAAAUAUAAAUAACUACGUAGGACAACAGGGUAAUUUAAUAGUCUAACAACCCCUGAUAACAUACAAAGAGAGAAAAAAAACAUACUAGGAAACAUAUUCAAAAAAUCAUAACACUAUAACUAACUGGUGGGAUGUAUAAAUACCGAGCCGCGUCAAAGAGUAUUCAUCAAAAUACACAUAGAAAGAAACAGAGGUGAAGGUAAACCGCAAACAUAUAAUUAAACUCAAAACAUUAAAGAGUAUGGAAAAGCCUUGGUCUGACAAGCGAAAAACGUCGAUAAGACGCACAUCAGUAAAUAAAAGUUCAAACCAUAACCAGGAUGGAGUACCACAAACCCCACAUAAAACUUCUGUGGUGUAAGUAUGAUGCGUUAAUAAAAUCACAUUUGGUGGUGAAUGAGUAGUAUAAACGGCCGCGAAGGUUACAAAUAUGAUGUUAAUUGUCUUCUAAUUGUUGAAAUUAUAAUUCUUAAAAAUUUUAAAUCAAAAGUUACCCACAUCUAAAAAUAAAGUUACGGACAGUCUGCUUAGUUUCGAUCAAAAAGUUACGGACAUCUUAUGCAUUUUUUAAAGUUGACCUUGCGCUUUAGUGAACUCUAUAUUAACAAAUUUAUGGUAAUUGUUAGUCAUUUCUUUAUUCAAUAAUCCUAUAAAUAUUUACAUUCUGCAUGAAAAACGUCGCAAAAGGUACAUUUUGUAUGAAUUAAAUAUCAACGAGUUUAGAGUCCGCC
Molecule: long non-coding RNA, 1750 nt
Filed under: Mytilus galloprovincialis (Mediterranean mussel)
Lineage: Eukaryota; Metazoa; Mollusca; Bivalvia; Mytilida; Mytilidae
Source: RNAcentral